CGUAAAUACCUCCUAUGUUGUUUAGAUAUGUCGAUUCUGGUAUAACCAGAUAGACCUAAGGAUGAUGCUAGUGAUUCCUUAGUAUUGUAUAUUCUAGCUGAGUAUAAAGAGUAAGGGGCUUUAUACAAAUAACAAUUCCUUAGGCAAGAUAUACCGCUCCGUUGUGCUGACGAGCAUAAUUUGCCCAGAUACAGAGCACGUGACUGUUCUGAGGAGCAUUUAUAUCAGAAAGGCAG
Molecule: long non-coding RNA, 236 nt
Filed under: Pseudomonas phage vB_PaeM_PA5oct
Lineage: Duplodnaviria; Heunggongvirae; Uroviricota; Caudoviricetes; Arenbergviridae
Description: putative lncRNA
Source: RNAcentral